AUUGAACGCUGGCGGCAGGCCUAACACAUGCAAGUCGAGCGGAUGAAGGGAGCUUGCUCCUGGAUUCAGCGGCGGACGGGUGAGUAAUGCCUAGGAAUCUGCCUGGUAGUGGGGGAUAACGUCCGGAAACGGGCGCUAAUACCGCAUACGUCCUGAGGGAGAAAGUGGGGGAUCUUCGGACCUCACGCUAUCAGAUGAGCCUAGGUCGGAUUAGCUAGUUGGUGGGGUAAAGGCCUACCAAGGCGACGAUCCGUAACUGGUCUGAGAGGAUGAUCAGUCACACUGGAACUGAGACACGGUCCAGACUCCUACGGGAGGCAGCAGUGGGGAAUAUUGGACAAUGGGCGAAAGCCUGAUGCAGCCAUGCCGCGUGUGUGAAGAAGGUCUUCGGAUUGUAAAGCACUUUAAGUUGGGAGGAAGGGAAGUAAGUUAAUACCUUGCUGUUUUGACGUUACCAACAGAAUAAGCACCGGCUAACUUCGUG
This 484-nucleotide ribosomal RNA is filed under the name uncultured bacterium. Its description in RNAcentral is "partial 16S ribosomal RNA". It matches the Rfam family "Bacterial small subunit ribosomal RNA", at positions 30 to 507 of the family's 1533-position model. The record is from RNAcentral.